GGCCUGAACCCUCUGCAUGAAGGAGGAGA
This 29-nucleotide non-coding RNA is filed under the name Mus musculus (house mouse). Lineage: Eukaryota; Metazoa; Chordata; Mammalia; Rodentia; Muridae. The record is from RNAcentral.